GAGAACUGAAACAUCUAAGUACCCCGAGGAAAAGAAAUCAACCGAGAUUCCCUCAGUAGCGGCGAGCGAACGGGGAUUAGCCCUUAAGCAUCUUGGAAGUUAGUGGAACGGUCCUGGAAAGGCCGGCGAUACAGGGUGAUAGCCCCGUACACGAAAACAACCUUGAUGUGAAAUCGAGUAGGGCGGGACACGUGACAUCCUGUCUGAAUAUGGGGGGACCAUCCUCCAAGGCUAAAUACUCCUGACUGACCGAUAGUGAACCAGUACCGUGAGGGAAAGGCGAAAAGAACCCCUGUGAGGGGAGUGAAAUAGAACCUGAAACCGUGUACGUACAAGCAGUGGGAGCCCUUCGGGGUGACUGCGUACCUUUUGUAUAAUGGGUCAGCGACUUACAUUUUGUAGCGAGGUUAACCGUAUAGGGGAGCCGUAGGGAAACCGAGUCUUAACUGGGCGUCUAGUUGCAAGGUGUAGACCCGAAACCGGGUGAUCUAGCCAUGGGCAGGUUGAAGGUUGAGUAACAUCAACUGGAGGACCGAACCCACUAACGUUGCAAAGUUAGGGGAUGACCUGUGGCUGGGGGUGAAAGGCCAAUCAAACUCGGAGAUAGCUGGUUCUCCCCGAAAGCUAUUUAGGUAGCGCCUCGGACGAAUACUACUGGGGGUAGAGCACUGUUUGGGCUAGGGGGUCAUCCCGACUUACCAACCCCAUGCAAACUCCGAAUACCAGUAAGUAAUAUCCGGGAGACACACGGCGGGUGCUAACGUCCGUCGUGAAGAGGGAAACAACCCAGACCGCCGGCUAAGGUCCCAAAGUUCUGGUUAAGUGGGAAACGAUGUGGGAAGGCUCAGACAGCUAGGAUGUUGGCUUAGAAGCAGCCAUCAUUUAAAGAAAGCGUAAUAGCUCACUAGUCGAGUCGGCCUGCGCGGAAGAUGUAACGGGGCUCAAACCAGGCACCGAAGCCGCGGAUUCACGCUAAGCGUGAGUGGUAGGGGAGCGUUCUGUAAGUCUGCGAAGGUGUGUCGAGAGGCAUGCUGGAGAUAUCAGAAGUGCGAAUGCUGACGUAAGUAACGAUAAAGGGGGUGAAAAGCCUCCUCGCCGGAAGACCAAGGGUUCCUGUCCAACGUUAAUCGGGGC
This 1134-nucleotide ribosomal RNA is filed under the name Aeromonas dhakensis. RNAcentral describes it as "partial 23S ribosomal RNA". It matches the Rfam family "Bacterial large subunit ribosomal RNA", at positions 188 to 1375 of the family's 2925-position model. The record is from RNAcentral. Lineage: Bacteria; Pseudomonadati; Pseudomonadota; Gammaproteobacteria; Aeromonadales; Aeromonadaceae.